This is a long non-coding RNA of Zea mays, 791 nucleotides long. RefSeq lists it as uncharacterized. The transcript is spliced from 2 exons. The record is from RefSeq and is a predicted model, not a curated record. NCBI's taxonomy places the organism in Eukaryota, Viridiplantae, Streptophyta, Magnoliopsida, Poales, Poaceae.
AUCCAUAGAGGCAAAAUAUUAUAGAAGCCACGGUAAUUCACAACGAACAUGACCAUAGAAAAUGUGCAGACAAUUCUAAAACCCUGAAGAGGCAGUAUAUAUUCCUUGGAUUGAUUAGGGUUCUCCUUCCUGGUCUCUCUGUUCAGUCUCGGGCAUUAAUUUAGCGAGAACAUGGUGUCAUCAGCAGAGAAAAUGCCUGCCAGGACAUCCAGGUGGUUCAGUUUAUCAUUAUCAUAUCUGCAGAAUAAAAAGGGAAUAAUAUAUUGCGUAGAGCUAGUUUAGGAGCAAUGAAAUUGAAGGGGCAUUGAGGACAUAUUUAGCAGUAAGGGAAAUGGAGGGGAUUGUAAGUGCUAAAAUCUUCUUAUUAUUUAGUCCCUUCGAUCCUCUCUAAUCUCCUUGCCCCCAAAUAAGUUCUCAGGGGCUAAAAUCCUCUUGGUAUUUAAUUUAGUGUAUUGUUUGACAGCAGGAAAAACACAUAUUUUUUUAAAAAAAAUCUAAGCAGCUGUUGGAUGUUCCUGGUCAGCAUUUCCUGCAAUGGCUGGCUCCCCUUGCUUCUUCUACACCUUAGCCUUGAGAUUCCAUCAUCAUCAUCCCAAACCAAGAAAGAAUCCCAAAUCCCUGAUACGUGAAGUUAGCUGAUUUGGGCCCAGCCCAAUAGAUUUGCAUGGGCCAUUGUUGCCCAUUGGCAUGCAUGCACACAACAAUGCAAGCGAUACUGAACAACGAACAACACCGCUUAUAUAAUAUGAUGAUGUAUACGAUGGAAUAUAUGAUGUGGACGAUUUAUAUGA